RNAcentral lists this ribosomal RNA (537 nucleotides) under uncultured Verrucomicrobiota bacterium. RNAcentral describes it as "bacterial SSU rRNA". It matches the Rfam family "Bacterial small subunit ribosomal RNA", at positions 8 to 522 of the family's 1533-position model. The record is from RNAcentral. Lineage: Bacteria; Pseudomonadati; Verrucomicrobiota.
AGAGUUUGAUCAUGGCUCAGAACGAACGCUGGCGGCGUGGAUAAGACAUGCAAGUCGAGCGAGAUUUUUUCUUGUAGCAAUACAGGGAAAAGUCUAGCGGCGAACGGGUGCUUAACACGUGGGCAACCUGCCGUGAAGUGGGGGAUAGCUCGCCGAAAGGCGAAUUAAUACCGCAUGUGAUUAGAGAGGACAUCCUUUCGAAAUUAAAGUCGGGGCAACCUGACGCUUCUUGUGGGGCCCGCGGCCUAUCAGCUAGUUGGUGAGGUAACGGCUCACCAAGGCUUUGACGGGUAGCUGGUCUGAGAGGACGACCAGCCACACUGGGACUGAGACACGGCCCAGACACCUACGGGUGGCAGCAGUCGAGAAUUUUUGACAAUGGGGGAAACCCUGAUCGAGCGACGCCGCGUGGAGGAUGAAGGUCUUCGGAUUGUAAACUCCUGUCAUUGGGGAACAAGGUGCAUACGUUAACUGCGUGUGUAUUGAUAGUACCCCGAAGAGGAAGAGACGGCUAACUCUGUGCCAGCAGCCGCGGUA